Molecule: long non-coding RNA, 1184 nt
Filed under: Mustela putorius furo (domestic ferret)
Lineage: Eukaryota; Metazoa; Chordata; Mammalia; Carnivora; Mustelidae
Description: lncRNA (ENSMPUG00000029069.1)
Source: RNAcentral
CUAAUUCUUCCAGGUGCUUUUUUUCCUGGCCUUGAGUAGUUUCCUCACACGCAUGCCCUGGUAAGUACUCAGCUGAAUAUUCAAGGGAACCUUCUACUGAUCUCUGAAAUUCUCUCUCUGGGACUGUUUCCUCACAGGAUUCUGUACUGUGAAUCCCUGCUGCUUUGAUCUUCCAGAUUCCCAGCGAUUGCUAACGCGGAACCUAAAGAUCUAGAGGGAGCCAGUCAAGCUCUCUAGAACAGCACUCUCCAGGCUCUGCGUGGAGGGAAAGAUCAGCACCAACUCUUCACUGGAACAUGCUCCAAGCUCCACGCCUGCCCCACUCCUUGAGGUGGUUGGCUCAGGAGAAGUGACAGAGAAAUGUGUGUACAACUGGAGAAAGAUAAACAAUGGAUCUCUCUUUGUCAAUGAAGUCCAUAAAAUCCAUUACAAUUUAAUGGAAAUUUUAAAAACAGAAGAAAUAUAGUGAUGUCACUCUUAAGGAACUCUCUUACAUUCUGCUCUGUUGUGGUUUAAGUGUGGUAAGUGAAGUUAUUUUAUUGGGAAAGGGAUUUUACUGCAUUGUAAGGGAAAGCAGAUUCAUGGCAAGUCCUUGAAUUGGGAAAAAUCUUCAGUUUCUGAGCAGAGCCUAUAAUUUGCAUUUGAUCUUAUAAUUCUGGGACGAAGUAAUUAUAGCAUGUUAUAUACAGAUAAGACUGAGGAAUAAUUUCAUUUUACAUGCUAACAAUGUUCACAUUGGAAAAGAUGUCACUGAAAGCAACACUGAGAAAGUCAGUGAAAAGUUGGCCUGAAAAAAAAAAAAAAGUAUUUUACAUAUGAGGUGGAGAAUGAUUUCAGUUUGAAGAUGAUGUUUAUAUGUGGAAGAGAUCAAAGAGAAGCAAAAAGUUUAUACGUAACACCAUAACUUGAAAUAGAAAGCUUAUUUUCUUAUUUUGACCUCAUUAAUUUAUAUGAACCAACAGUGUAAACUCAUCAUGCAAUAUUUUGUUUUCAUCUGUACAAUGGGAGGAAAAUGACAUUCUUACUUAGAGUGAAAUUGAGGAACCCAAGAAGGAAUCUCUUAGAGCAUUUCUAAACAGAAAAUAUUAUAAAGUAGUAAAUUUGAAAGAGAUGAGAACAACUUGAAUGAAAAACAAGGAAGAGGAGAAUUCACCAUCUGGACUAAAAUGAAAGAGAAGGAAAAU